UAGGAUAUGGUGCUACUCGGUGA
This 23-nucleotide microRNA is filed under the name Pristionchus pacificus. RNAcentral describes it as "ppc-miR-8289-3p". Lineage: Eukaryota; Metazoa; Nematoda; Chromadorea; Rhabditida; Neodiplogasteridae. The record is from miRBase by way of RNAcentral.